AACGAACGCUGGCGGCAGGCCUAACACAUGCAAGUCGAACGAACCUUUCGGGGUUAGUGGCGGACGGGUGAGUAACACGUGGGAACGUGCCUUUAGGUUCGGAAUAACUCAGGGAAACUUGUGCUAAUACCGAAUGUGCCCUUCGGGGGAAAGAUUUAUCGCCUUUAGAGCGGCCCGCGUCUGAUUAGCUAGUUGGUUGAGGUAAUGGCUCACCAAGGCGACGAUCAGUAGCUGGUCUGAGAGGAUGAUCAGCCACAUUGGGACUGAGACACGGCCCAAACUCCUUCGGGAGGCAGCAGUGGGGAAUCUUGCGCAAUGGGCGAAAGCCUGACGCAGCCAUGCCGCGUGAAUGAUGAAGGUCUUAGGAUUGUAAAAUUCUUUCACCGGGGACGAUAAUGACGGUACCCGGAGAAGAAGCCCCGGCUAACUUCGUG
RNAcentral lists this ribosomal RNA (434 nucleotides) under uncultured bacterium. RNAcentral describes it as "partial 16S ribosomal RNA". It matches the Rfam family "Bacterial small subunit ribosomal RNA", at positions 29 to 507 of the family's 1533-position model. The record is from RNAcentral.